CACAAAUACACAUAAAGGCUGUGAUCGUUCUAUUUUUCUGUCAGAUGGUCAUGAUGUUCAGCCGAGACCAAGCAGCUCUUCUCUCCGUUCAGCUGAUGUUUAUGUGUCGCGUCUUUGCAGAACCUCCAGCAGUUCAGCACAGGAAUAAAGUGGUGUCCAGCGGAGACUCCAUUAAGUUCACUUGCAACACAAAUAUAACAGAAAUGGCAGAGAAAGAUGUGACACAUAUCAAAUGGACAAAAGACACAUUUCUUUUUUCGCAGGAUAUUUUGAACAAUCAGACUUUUUCAAAUUUCACAUAUGACAAAGUGAAAAUAGACACUCGCUUUCCUUUUAAUCUGAUUAUUUUUAAUGCUCAGUAUUAUCAUGCUGGACUCUUUACAUGUCGUCUAACUAGGACAAACGGCCCAUCGACUGCUGUAUGGAAUUUAACUGUGUCUGAGAAAUCUGAAAAGUCUGAAGAAAUAAACAGCAAAGUUUGGUAUUUUGUGUACAUACUCCCAGUUGUAUCUGGAUUACUCCUAUGUGGUAUCACCUCAGCUGUGUGCAUCUCGAGAAGAAAACGUAAAAGCUCAGCCCUGAAUCAGGACCCAGACCCAGACCAGAUUCAAACCCAGUCUGGACUAGACGUUGUUCAACAUCAACUGCAGGCUGAUGCAGAAAGCAUGAGAAGUAACACGAGGAGGACUUGCUACGUGGAGAGGCUCAAUUCAAUUUAUGGCCUCUCUUGAGCUGAGAAAACAUUGAAAUAUAACUUAAAAAUGACACAAAUCCACAGAUACCACAAUCUUUCCAACACCUCCACGAUAAGGACUAUUGUUUAUAUCAUAUCUUUUAUAUCUCUAAACUGUAUGUAUUUUAACAUGUUUUUGUAUAGCAGUUUUAAAAUAAGUAUAGUUUAUGAAAUGUCAUUAAAGUUAACUGAACUCAUCAGGCAUGAAGUGGAAGUUUGCUCCUCCUAGAUGUCUGUGAAUGAAUUGUAAUGAGUUUCUCAUAUCAAAACACAGUUAUUGCAAACAUGUUUUGAAACCGCUCUGAGCAGUGGACAAGUGCAUCAAAUUCUCUCAGCAUCAUUCGGAUACAGCUUUGGAUCAUGUCUCUCGUGUUCAUUUUCUUUUUUAAUUGAUCAUAUAGAUGCUUAUGACACUAGUUUAUUAUCAAGGUGGGCUGUGCUUGAACUUUUAAAAUGUCACUUAAACCGAUGCAUUCAUGCCUCUUACAUAAUGUUGUGCUCCAUGAAAAGUGUGACCGUUUUGAGGCCUAACCAAAAAAUAACACACCACUUCCUUUUGUCUGCAUCUCCCCCACAAAUACAUAUAAGUUUCAUUCUGUGUGACAGUCACUUUGUUUUUUCUAAAACAAGCAGCUCUUUUCAUUGCUCAGUUAUCACGUGUCAUUACUUUGCACAUACAAAGGUGAUUUGUAUGUUUGAUAUAUUUUUAAUCCGGGCUGGUUAUUAACACUUUUUAACAUUUUUUGUUU
RNAcentral lists this long non-coding RNA (1482 nucleotides) under Echeneis naucrates (live sharksucker). RNAcentral describes it as "lncRNA (ENSENLG00000006445.1)". The record is from RNAcentral. Lineage: Eukaryota; Metazoa; Chordata; Actinopteri; Carangiformes; Echeneidae.